UGGCUCAGAUGGUAAAGCAUCUGUCUGCAAUGCAGGAGACCUGGGUUCGAUCCCUG
Bos taurus (domestic cattle) is the source of this 56-nucleotide non-coding RNA. The record is from Rfam. Lineage: Eukaryota; Metazoa; Chordata; Mammalia; Artiodactyla; Bovidae.